This is a long non-coding RNA of Athalia rosae (coleseed sawfly), 608 nucleotides long. RefSeq lists it as uncharacterized. NCBI's taxonomy places the organism in Eukaryota, Metazoa, Arthropoda, Insecta, Hymenoptera, Athaliidae. The record is from RefSeq and is a predicted model, not a curated record. The transcript has 3 exons.
GACAGUUAUUACAGCCUCCAUUUCCUCAGCUCCCUCAGCUAGAAGCAGAAGUCCUGUUUUCUUUGCCAUGUUGACGUGGAUGCUGGUCAAAAACCGUCGAGCUUACAGGAGUCGAAGUCUUAAUUCGGGUGAAGCGCAAAACACCGGUAACACACGAUGCUGGGGUGGCGGUAAAGAUUGACGACGACGACGACGCAGAGCUGGGCUCAAGUUGUACUUCACCUUAGCCUGUAUCAAGAGCUCCUUGAACACUUGGGAUAUAUUCGUGUUGUCUUUCGCCGAUACCUCGACGAAACCGUUCUCCCAAUCAACCGUCGCCAACGCCUGCGUGCUCUCCUUGUCGACCUGAUCAACGAAAUUCGAUUAGGGGGGGAUGAUAAUUGGAAAUUGAAAACGACCUCCUGAAUUUUAACGGACGGUAAUAAGAAAAAACUUUCCGAGACGCGUCUCACCUCGCGAUGCUCGUCGGCCAAAUCGACCUUGUUCCCCACGAGGACGAUCGGCACCGCGGCGUAUCCUUUCGUUUCAAGUAUUUGCGAUCGGAGAACCUUGGCUUCCAGAAAGGAAUUGGAAUCGUUGACGUCGUAGACGAGGAUGAAGGCAUCGGC